GGCCUGGAGCUCGGGCGGCAGGAGCUCCUGUUAAAUGUCAGGAAGGCCCAGGGAGCAGGCAGAGUGCAUGAAUGUGCGGGUUUCAGGCCAGGGCAAGACUCUCACACCAGGCUCAGCUGCGUCUGGAUCCCUCCGCUGCGCGCCUUGGAUCAAUUUUGGAUCAAUCGGCCACAACAGCUGGGUGCCCAGAAAACAGAGGCGGUGAAUCAAAAAGAGGAAGGAGUUCCCAAGGCGCCCCCGUGCUUGUGACAGGCACGGGCGGGCGGGUCCCACUACAGACCUCACUUCCUGAUGGGAGAGGGAGAAAAACUGAAGUUACGAAAGCAGAAGCAACAGAUGUGGCUCCAGCUGGCAUGUGUACCGCCGUCCGUCCUCCACGAAGAGAAGACCCCUCCCUGCCUGGGGUGGUUUCCACCCGACCUUACAAUCCCCACCAAAUCGCGGCUCUCCCCACCAGCUCUGCACCCAAAUCAUCCCUCCCUUAAUCCCCCGCUGUCCCGUAUAAGCCGCUGGGUGGCGCUGUCGGCACUAACGGAGGCCGCCCGGAGCUCCGCUGCUGCUGGAAGGGCGGGCAGGCCUGGGGUUAGACGUGGAUCCGGGAGCAUCGGAGCAUCGAGCAUCUCUACAAGACCGAGGCUAGCGGUGACUUCGAAGUAUCACCUACAGUCUGAAUUAGAAGCAAAUACAAACCCAGGGCGCCAGUUCUUGGCUUGAUUCAGGGUGAGGCUCCAGAAGAGGGUCCAUCCAAUCUGCCUAAAAUGAGAGCGCAGGCAGGACUGCGGCCCAUUUGAGAGUUUCGGGGAAACUGGUCCCUGCAGAUUAUAAGAUUUACUCAGGUGUCUUUGGUUCCAAAGUCCAGAAGGCUGAGAGGUGAGGAAGCUGCAGAAGAAAAAUUUGAAGCAAGAGGUUGGUGCAUGAGGUUUAAGGUAAGAAGCCAUCUCCAUAACAACCAAGUGCCAGGUGAAGCAGCACGUGCUGAUGUAGAAGCUUCAGUAAGUUACCCA
This is a non-coding RNA of Sus scrofa (pig), 1004 nucleotides long. NCBI's taxonomy places the organism in Eukaryota, Metazoa, Chordata, Mammalia, Artiodactyla, Suidae. The record is from RefSeq and is a predicted model, not a curated record.